This 893-nucleotide ribosomal RNA is filed under the name uncultured bacterium. RNAcentral describes it as "bacterial SSU rRNA". It matches the Rfam family "Bacterial small subunit ribosomal RNA", at positions 28 to 917 of the family's 1533-position model. The record is from RNAcentral.
AUUGAACGCUGGCGGCAUGCCUUACACAUGCAAGUCGAACGGUAACAGGGAGCUUGCUCCGCUGACGAGUGGCGAACGGGUGAGUAAUAUAUCGGAACGUACCAUUGAGUGGGGGAUAACGUAGCGAAAGUUGCGCUAAUACCGCAUAUUCUCUCCGGAGGAAAGCAGGGGACCGCAAGGCCUUGCGCUCAUUGAGCGGCCGAUAUCAGAUUAGCUAGUUGGUGGGGUAAAAGCUCACCAAGGCGACGAUCUGUAGCGGGUCUGAGAGGAUGACCCGCCACACUGGAACUGAGACACGGUCCAGACUCCUACGGGAGGCAGCAGUGGGGAAUUUUGGACAAUGGGGGCAACCCUGAUCCAGCCAUGCCGCGUGAGUGAAGAAGGCCUUCGGGUUGUAAAGCUCUUUCAGCCGGGAAGGAAACGCAUUGGUUAAUACCUGAUGUGGAUGACGGUACCGGAAUAAGAAGCACCGGCUAACUACGUGCCAGCAGCCGCGGUAAUACGUAGGGUGCGAGCGUUAAUCGGAAUUACUGGGCGUAAAGCGUGCGCAGGCGGUUUUGUAAGAUAGGCGUGAAAUCCCCGGGCUUAACCUGGGAACUGCGUUUAUGACUGCAAAGCUAGAGUACGGCAGAGGGGGGUGGAAUUCCACGUGUAGCAGUGAAAUGCGUAGAGAUGUGGAGGAACACCAAUGGCGAAGGCAGCCCCCUGGGUCGAUACUGACGCUCAUGCACGAAAGCGUGGGUAGCAAACAGGAUUAGAUACCCUGGUAGUCCACGCCCUAAACGAUGUCAACUAGGUGUUGGGAGGGUAAAACCUUUUAGUACCGGAGCUAACGCGUGAAGUUGACCGCCUGGGGAGUACGGCCGCAAGGUUAAACUCAAGGAAUUGACGGG